UACGGAGGGUGCAAGCGUUGUCCGGAUUUACUGGGUUUAAAGGGUGCGUAGGUGGGCAGGUAAGUCAGUGGUGAAAUCUCCAGGCUUAACUUGGAAACUGCCAUUGAUACUAUCAAUCUUGAAUACCGUGGAGGUCAGCGGAAUAUGUCAUGUAGCGGUGAAAUGCGUAGAUAUGACAUAGAACACCAAUUGCGAAGGCAGCUGGCUACACAAAUAUUGACACUGAGGCACGAAAGCGUGGGGAUCAAACAGG
This 253-nucleotide ribosomal RNA is filed under the name uncultured bacterium. RNAcentral describes it as "partial 16S ribosomal RNA". It matches the Rfam family "Bacterial small subunit ribosomal RNA", at positions 524 to 776 of the family's 1533-position model. The record is from RNAcentral.